UACAGAGGGAGCGAGCGUUGUUCGGAAUUACUGGGCGUAAAGCGCUCGCAGGUGGUCCGAUGCGUCGUGCGUGAAAGACCCCGGCUCAACUGGGGGGCGUCGUGCGAUACGGUCGGACUGGAGGCCAGUAGGGGGAUGCGGAAUUCCGGGUGUAGUGGUGGAAUGCGUAGAGAUCCGGAGGAACACCAGCGGCGAAGGCGGCAUCCUGGACUGGUCCUGACACUCAUGAGCGAAAGCGUGGGGAGCGAUCCGG
RNAcentral lists this ribosomal RNA (253 nucleotides) under uncultured bacterium. RNAcentral describes it as "partial 16S ribosomal RNA". It matches the Rfam family "Bacterial small subunit ribosomal RNA", at positions 524 to 776 of the family's 1533-position model. The record is from RNAcentral.